GACGAACGCUGGCGGCGUGCCUAAUACAUGCAAGUAGAACGCUGAAGAGAGGAGCUUGCUCUUCUUGGAUGAGUUGCGAACGGGUGAGUAACGCGUAGGUAACCUGCCUUGUAGCGGGGGAUAACUAUUGGAAACGAUAGCUAAUACCGCAUAACAAUGGAUGACACAUGUCAUUUAUUUGAAAGGGGCAAUUGCUCCACUACAAGAUGGACCUGCGUUGUAUUAGCUAGUAGGUGAGGUAACGGCUCACCUAGGCGACGAUACAUAGCCGACCUGAGAGGGUGAUCGGCCACACUGGGACUGAGACACGGCCCAGACUCCUACGGGAGGCAGCAGUAGGGAAUCUUCGGCAAUGGGGGCAACCCUGACCGAGCAACGCCGCGUGAGUGAAGAAGGUUUUCGGAUCGUAAAGCUCUGUUGUAAGUCAAGAACGAGUGUGAGAGUGGAAAGUUCACACUGUGACGGUAGCUUACCAGAAAGGGACGGCUAACUACGUGCCAGCAGCCGCGGUAAUACGUAGGUCCCGAGCGUUGUCCGGAUUUAUUGGGCGUAAAGCGAGCGCAGGCGGUUUGAUAAGUCUGAAGUUAAAGGCUGUGGCUCAACCAUAGUUCGCUUUGGAAACUGUCAAACUUGAGUGCAGAAGGGGAGAGUGGAAUUCCAUGUGUAGCGGUGAAAUGCGUAGAUAUAUGGAGGAACACCGGUGGCGAAAGCGGCUCUCUGGUCUGUAACUGACGCUGAGGCUCGAAAGCGUGGGGAGCGAACAGGAUUAGAUACCCUGGUAGUCCACGCCGUAAACGAUGAGUGCUAGGUGUUGGAUCCUUUCCGGGAUUCAGUGCAGCAGCUAACGCAUUAAGCACUCCGCCUGGGGAGUACGACCGCAAGGUUGAAACUCAAAGGAAUUGACGGGGGCCCGCACAAGCGGUGGAGCAUGUGGUUUAAUUCGAAGCAACGCGAAGAACCUUACCAGGUCUUGACAUCCCGAUGCUAUUUCUAGAGAUAGAAAGUUACUUCGGUACAUCGGUGACAGGUGGUGCAUGGUUGUCGUCAGCUCGUGUCGUGAGAUGUUGGGUUAAGUCCCGCAACGAGCGCAACCCCUAUUGUUAGUUGCCAUCAUUCAGUUGGGCACUCUAGCGAGACUGCCGGUAAUAAACCGGAGGAAGGUGGGGAUGACGUCAAAUCAUCAUGCCCCUUAUGACCUGGGCUACACACGUGCUACAAUGGUUGGUACAACGAGUUGCGAGUCGGUGACGGCAAGCUAAUCUCUUAAAGCCAAUCUCAGUUCGGAUUGUAGGCUGCAACUCGCCUACAUGAAGUCGGAAUCGCUAGUAAUCGCGGAUCAGCACGCCGCGGUGAAUACGUUCCCGGGCC
This 1368-nucleotide ribosomal RNA is filed under the name uncultured bacterium. Its description in RNAcentral is "16S ribosomal RNA". It matches the Rfam family "Bacterial small subunit ribosomal RNA", at positions 28 to 1380 of the family's 1533-position model. The record is from RNAcentral.